This 484-nucleotide ribosomal RNA is filed under the name uncultured bacterium. RNAcentral's name for it is "partial 16S ribosomal RNA". It matches the Rfam family "Bacterial small subunit ribosomal RNA", at positions 28 to 523 of the family's 1533-position model. The record is from RNAcentral.
GACGAACGCUGGCGGCGUGCUUAACACAUGCAAGUUGAACGAUGAAGCCGGAGCUUGCUCUGGUGAAUUAGUGGCGAACGGGUGAGUAACACGUGAGUAACCUGCCCUUGACUCUGGGAUAACUGCUAGAAAUGGUAGCUAAUACCGGAUACGACCCUCGGCGGCAUCGCCAGGGGGUGGAAAGAAUUUCGGUCAAGGAUGGACUCGCGGCCUAUCAGCUAGUUGGUGAGGUAACGGCGCACCAAGGCGACGACGGGUAGCCGGCCUGAGAGGGUGACCGGCCACACUGGGACUGAGACACGGCCCAGACUCCUACGGGAGGCAGCAGUGGGGAAUAUUGCACAAUGGGCGCAAGCCUGAUGCAGCAACGCCGCGUGAGGGAUGACGGCCUUCGGGUUGUAAACCUCUUUCAGCUAUGACGAAGCGCAAGUGACGGUAGUAGCAGAAGAAGGACCGGCCAACUACGUGCCAGCAGCCGCGGUAA